GCUCCCGAAAAUUAGUUGGUUUACAGUAAUCAGAUUUAUACUUGAUAAGAGCAACAGAACAAGGAACACUCCGGAUGCAGAAUUUUCUCGCUGCUCUGAAUACAAAUUGUUUGCUUUGAUCUGUUUCUGGUCUUCGGUCGGGUUGUUGUCUCUCUGACAAAUUCCCUGUUUCAAUUCUUUUUUCUUCUUUUGCAUACCUGAUUUUAAUCUAGAUUUUGAGAGGUUCGGGUAGCUCCAUUCUUAAAAUUCUUUAUAAAGCGCUUUUGGGGCGUUUAUUUACUUUUAUUGCGUGGUAAACAUGAUACUAGAACAUGAAAUAUACUAAAAUACAUUGAACCUACGUUCGAUCAAGGAAUUUUAAUCAAGUAAUACAACUGUUUUGAAUUACCUGAAAGAUGAGGAGUUUACUCGACAAGCUAUGUCAUAGAUGUUGUUUUUAAAUCAAGGCGUAAGUGAACAAGACUU
Molecule: long non-coding RNA, 465 nt
Filed under: Mytilus galloprovincialis (Mediterranean mussel)
Lineage: Eukaryota; Metazoa; Mollusca; Bivalvia; Mytilida; Mytilidae
Source: RNAcentral